Molecule: unclassified non-coding RNA, 581 nt
Filed under: Aneides flavipunctatus (black salamander)
Lineage: Eukaryota; Metazoa; Chordata; Amphibia; Caudata; Plethodontidae
Description: partial contains 12 ribosomal RNA and tRNA-Val
Rfam family: Microsporidia small subunit ribosomal RNA (bases 1-482)
Source: RNAcentral
GGCCAUAAACUUCGGAUUUUUCCCGCCAGAAUAUUACGAGCCACAGCUUAAAAUUCAAAGGACUUGGCGGUGCCUUACAUCCACCUAGAGGAGCCUGUUCUUUAAUUGAUACCCCCCAAUAAACCUCACCACCUCUUGUAAAUUCAGCCUAUAUACCACCGUCACAAGCCCACCUCAUCAGAGAACAAUAGUAGGCUAAAUAAUUUUAAAUUAAAAAGUCAGGUCAAGGUGUAGCAAACGAGUUGGAAAGAAAUUGGCUACAUUUUCUUUUUAAAAAAUACGAAGUGUUUCGUGAAAUAAAACAUGAAGGAGGAUUUAGUAGUAAAAAGAAAAUAGAGUGUUCUUUUUAAAAUUGGCAAUAAGGCGAGCACACACCGCCCGUCACCCUCUUAGUACAAAUAAGCUAAAAUAUAAUAAUUACAUUUAAAAUAGAGGAAAGUCGUAACAUGGUAAGUCCACCGGAAGGCGGCCUUGGACAGAAUAUAGCUGAAAUAAAGCAUUUUGCUUACACCAAAAAAAUAUCUUUAACAGAUUAUUCUGAAUUGUAAAUUUAGCCCAAUAUCUUUUUACCUAACAAAUUU